This 293-nucleotide long non-coding RNA is filed under the name Cavia porcellus (domestic guinea pig). Its description in RNAcentral is "lncRNA (ENSCPOG00000032094.1)". The record is from RNAcentral. Lineage: Eukaryota; Metazoa; Chordata; Mammalia; Rodentia; Caviidae.
CCUGGAUAAGCCUGGGGUGCAAAUGUGAGCAGGUAGCUGUGGACCAGAAAGAAUGAACCCCAGGAAAGUCAGUGUGGUGAGACCGCGUGUGGCAGCGGGAGCAGCAUCUGGACACCCAGGACAAGCAUCCAGCUCCGGGAAGUCACUGUCGUCUGGCUGUCACUGCCCCGGGACCCCAGGCUCACACACACGCUGCCCACCGAGUCCACAGAGCACCUUGCUUCUGCUGACAGUGCUCCCAGUCGGGUCCAUUGGCAAGCUCACCUGUCCGUCUCCUGCAAGCCGUGUCUCAG